CUGAGUUGCUCUCUGACUGCUACCGAAGACAGACGUGUUUUUCAAGCGUUCCGUUCUGCUGCCGUGUUCAGAAGUACAGAGUACUCUACCCUUGUCGGCAUAUUUUCUUCAAAGAAUAUUAAUUACGAAUUAAAUGUAGUGCAGCAUCCAAUAGAAAAAAUUUCCGGAAAAAUCAUUCACAUAUUAGAUACUGAUGUGCACAUUUAUUUUCCAUUAAUUCACUAAUUCCACAAAGGAUGAACCAUUAUACAAACUUAUUUAUCAUGGAUUCUGGAAAUAUUGCACAACUAAAUGAGUAUGUUCCAGACACCCAGCAGUCAUCUAUCAUAGAAAAAAUGAAUAAACUGGACCAAAAAAUGGACCUUAUACUUAAUAAACUCGACGGAAUAAAUAUCCUGGACAAAAAAAUUGACCUUAUGCUUAAUAAACUCGACGGAAUAAAUAACCUGGACAAAAAAAUGGACAUCAUGAUUAAUAAACUGGACCGAAACACAGCGGAAAUGGUGGCUCUUCGUUCCGAAAUCGGCUCCAUUAAGGCGAAGGUUUGUGGUGAGAUCCGCAAACCCAAAGUAGUUCUGCCUUGCCAACCGAGGUCGCACGACAGUGCUCUUGGCGGGGCACAGAGGAGAAAAAGUGCAUUAGGGGCUUGCGGGUUACUCUAGCCAUCCGUACGGGAUUUAAGGAAAGAUUUUCGUUAGAAGACGCCGAUUUCGACCGAAUCACGCAAAAAUUUUUCCAGUACGCCCAGGACAGAGUGUCGAAGGAGAAAAAACAAAUUAAAUUUAAUUCACUAAUAUAAUUUUUUAAUCUAUUUAUGUA
Drosophila pseudoobscura is the source of this 819-nucleotide long non-coding RNA. RefSeq lists it as uncharacterized. NCBI's taxonomy places the organism in Eukaryota, Metazoa, Arthropoda, Insecta, Diptera, Drosophilidae. The record is from RefSeq and is a predicted model, not a curated record. The transcript has 4 exons.